UCCCUUAUCUGAUUGUAUUCUCCUAGGGUGUGGUGUUGAAAACCUCUUUGUUUCGGUCUGAGCUUCCUUAAACACAUCACUAAGGUUGCUCUGCGGCAAAGGAGACAAAGAUCUCUGCUUGUUGACAGUUAGAGGUCGACCAAUAGGUGAAGACACACGACUGUUCCUCCGAACCAUUGAAUUACUGGGGCUCGACUUCUGCCUAGUAGGUGAAGACACACAACUGUUCCUCCGAAUCGUUGAAUUACUGGGGGUCGACUUCUGCCUAGUAGGAGCUGCUGCUGCUACAGGCCUUGACUUCAACCCUGCCAUCUUCUGCUCUUUCUGAAAAUCUAGAAAGGUUAAAGGAAUUGAGGCCAAUCUUGAAUCAUCAUGACGAUGCGAAUCAAACCGAUGGGAGAAUUUCGUUCUCCU
Molecule: long non-coding RNA, 414 nt
Filed under: Fragaria vesca (wild strawberry)
Lineage: Eukaryota; Viridiplantae; Streptophyta; Magnoliopsida; Rosales; Rosaceae
Description: long non-coding RNA (FVES_LNC001249)
Source: RNAcentral